This 502-nucleotide ribosomal RNA is filed under the name uncultured bacterium. RNAcentral describes it as "partial 16S ribosomal RNA". It matches the Rfam family "Bacterial small subunit ribosomal RNA", at positions 30 to 523 of the family's 1533-position model. The record is from RNAcentral.
ACUGAACGCUGGCGGCGUGCUUAACACAUGCAAGUCGAGCGGUAACAGGUGUAGCAAUACAUGCUGACGAGCGGCGAACGGGUGAGUAAUGCUUCGGAAUCUUCCUAGUAGUGGGGAAUAACCUGGGGAAACUCAGGCUAAUACCGCAUACGACCUACGGGUGAAAGCAGGGGAUCGCAAGACCUUGCGCUAUCAGAUGAGCCGAAGUCGGAUUAGCUAGUUGGUGGGGUAAAGGCCUACCAAGGCGACGAUCCGUAGCUGGUCUGAGAGGACGACCAGCCACACUGGGACUGAGACACGGCCCAGACUCCUACGGGAGGCAGCAGUGGGGAAUAUUGGACAAUGGGCGCAAGCCUGAUCCAGCGACGCCGCGUGUGUGAAGAAGGCCUGCGGGUUGUAAAGCACUUUUAGUGGGGAUGAAAAGCCAAGGGCUAAUACCCUUUGGUCUUGACCUAACCCAAAGAAAAAGCACCGGCUAACUCUGUGCCAGCAGCCGCGGUAA